GACGAACGCUGGCGGCGUGCCUAACACAUGCAAGUCGAGCGAGUGGAUUUCCUUCGGGAGAGAAGCUAGCGGCGGACGGGUGAGUAACACGUGGGCAACCUGCCUCAUAGAGGGGAAUAGCCUCCCGAAAGGGAGAUUAAUACCGCGUAAGAUUGUAGCUUCGCAUGAAGGAGCAAUUAAAGGAGCAAUCCGCUAUGAGAUGGGCCCGCGGCGCAUUAGCUAGUUGGUGAGGUAACGGCGCACCAAGGCGACGAUGCGUAGCCGACCUGAGAGGGUGAUCGGCCACAUUGGGACUGAGACACGGCCCAGACUCCUACGGGAGGCAGCAGUGGGGAAUAUUGCACAAUGGGGGAAACCCUGAUGCAGCAACGCCGCGUGAGUGAUGACGGCCUUCGGGUUGUAAAGCUCUGUCUUCAGGGACGAUAAUGACGGUACCUGAGGAGGAAGCCACGGCUAACUACGUGCCAGCAGCCGCCGCGG
This 480-nucleotide ribosomal RNA is filed under the name uncultured bacterium. RNAcentral's name for it is "partial 16S ribosomal RNA". It matches the Rfam family "Bacterial small subunit ribosomal RNA", at positions 28 to 523 of the family's 1533-position model. The record is from RNAcentral.